AGCUGCCAUAGGCAUGAAGGAAGUCUCUUCAUCUCACCUCCGGCCUAAGCUAGUCUCUAGUUAGUAUUCAGGCACACCUACCUCAGAAGAAUUUGAGAUGGAUCUUGCAAUAUCCGCCGUUACAGGUGACCUCGCCAGCCGAUUCAUCUCUUUCCUCAUGAACAAAUAUGCGGAUCAUCUGUACUCGGAGCAGAAGGUGGAGAGGCUACAGCAACUCUUGUUGAGAGUUCACACGGUCGUCGAGGAGGCAGAUGGACGGCACAUCACCAACUCUUGUAUGCUCAUGCAGUUGAAGCAGCUAUCGGCAGCCAUGUAUCAAGGGUACCAUGUCUUGGACAGCAUCAGGUACCGGCAACAAAAGGAGGCAUCCAAGGACUUGGUGAGCGAUUCAUUUACCUCGUCUGAUUAUAUCAUUCCAUUCAAACGUGCUCGCACAAGUUCUUCGACAAACAAGGCCACCAACUCGGAGUUACAAAGUGCACUUCAGAGUCUGGAAGCUGUUGUUGACCACAUGGUGGAGUUCGUCGUGCUUUUGGCCGGAUGCGAGCGCGUCUCCCGGAGACCGUAUGAUGCCUAUCUUCAGGUCGACAACUUCAUGUUUGGUCGGCAUGUCGAGAAGCAGAAGAUCAUCAACUUCUUGCUGCAACAGGACAUACCUGGUCCUCCGGCGGUACUACCGAUCAUUGGUGGACGUGGAGUUGGGAAGAAAACCCUUGUGGCACAUGUAUGCAGGUAUGACAGGGUGCGUUCUCACUUCACAGUUAUUUUGCACCUGAGUGGAGACGGUCUUACCAAAAUAACAGACAAUGAAAUUCCGUCAGGGAAGAUACUGGUAGUUGUCGAGUUUGCUUCUGAUGUAGAUGACGAUGACUGGAAAACAUUUUAUUCAUCUGUUACGAGCAUGGACAGAGGAAGCAAAGUGAUAAUCUUAGGCCGAAAUGAAAGCUUGAAGAAACUUGGGACUGUCCAGACUAUAUCUCUAAACCCUCUAGCAUUCGAGGAGUACAGGUACCUGCUCAAGAUGCUCGCAUUCGGAAGCAUGAACCCGGGAGACCAUCCGCAGUUAGCAACGAUAAUGGAAGAAUUCGCUGUGGUGUUCGAAGGAUCACUCGUUUCAGCUAACUUGCUUGGAUAUGCAGUAAGAAAGAAUCUGAAUGCCCAUUUCUGGCUUAGCACAUUGAACAAGAUCAGAAUCACAAGGAAGGUGAACAUAUCCAGGUCUGGCUGCCAUCCAAAUGGCCUUUUCGAUCAAGGCCGUCCGGUGCACUUCGGCCCUCACCACCUCUUGUCUCCUGCUACUCCAUCAUGCCUUAUACCCUCUGCUGGCUGUCCGGAUAGUAGUCUACCCAAAGUCAUAUUAGGGGACUUGCUAGCAGAAGCAUGCCAUAUUGUUCAACCAAAGGGAGAUUUUAGGCUGAUCUCUUGGGAAUCAAGGUUACCACCAUACACUGCGUUUGUUCAUCUGGUUCGCUUUGUUCCAAGUUGUGUGGAUGAUAAGCCUGAAGCAUCCUUGUCAGGGAAGAAGCGUCUGGGGCCAUCUGCCUAGUCUCAUGCCACAUAUCUUCAAAUAGCAUUUUUAUAUCUUAUGAGAUAUUUAUAGAUCUGAGUAUAAUGUAACGAUAAACAUACCGAAUGAUCAUACUCAGCUUCUUUUUCUUUUUAGUUUGGACAAGAGUCACAUGAAAAGAUAUGUAUGUGCCAUCGGUUGGUUCAUAGGGAUGGGUUCUGAAUUGGCAGAGUAUGUAUAGCAUUGAUUAUCUUGAUUGGUAUAGCUGUAUAAGAACCUUUAACUAUCUAUGUAAGAACAUGUAAU
RNAcentral lists this ribosomal RNA (1813 nucleotides) under Triticum aestivum (bread wheat). Its description in RNAcentral is "partial small subunit ribosomal RNA". Lineage: Eukaryota; Viridiplantae; Streptophyta; Magnoliopsida; Poales; Poaceae. The record is from RNAcentral.